Acinonyx jubatus (cheetah) is the source of this 1915-nucleotide long non-coding RNA. RefSeq lists it as uncharacterized. The record is from RefSeq and is a predicted model, not a curated record. NCBI's taxonomy places the organism in Eukaryota, Metazoa, Chordata, Mammalia, Carnivora, Felidae. The transcript is spliced from 4 exons.
UAUUACUCGAGACAUGCAGCACGCAAUGAGUCUUACUGCAGUUAUCAAAUACACGCGCGCGUGCCUGUGAGCGCACGAAAAGCCUCACAACUGAAGGUAGGGCGAACGCAUGUGCAACGUCACGUGGCUCGCUGAGACUCCAAGUGAAGGUGAAAAAAAACGUCUCUUGAAGUCUUUCGGAAAGCAUUUGCAGUCAACUAAAGGUGAACGUGCGUAUCUUCAAGUAGAUUCAUGGGGAAAACUCUGCGGCAUGAGAAGACCUAAAUGGCCAGGUUGCAGCACCAGCUUCCAGUUCAAUGGAAUCAUUUUUGUACCCCUAGUGAAAGCACUCUUCCUUUGGAAACUAAGACCUCUAAACCAACAGCGCACAAAGGAGCUCUGCAUCUAACUUAUCCAGAUUGAAUCAAGCCUGGGAAUCAUUGGAGGAUCUAGGACUAUCUACUCUUGGGUUGAAGUCAGAAGUCUUUACUCCAGGCCUGGAGCUUUUUUUGUUCAUACAAGCCAAGUAAGACAUUAGUGGGGUGUCUACAUAUUUCAAUCCUAGGAAGAUUACAAUGAAUUAGCCAAUGCCAAAGAGCAAGCUAUUCUGAUUAUCUCUUUAGCUCUGUCCAUUAUUACAAUGUUUCCCUUGUUUCUGGUAGUUAAGAUAGUUAAGUCACGUCACUUGGUGCCUGUCAUUCCAGUGUCCCAAUAUCCCCAGUGAAUUCAAGGGACACAGUUUAAUGAGAGCAUUAAUGGCUUAUAGAGAAUGGCUAAUACAAAACCGUGCACAGAUGUUGUUGUUUGCUUCAACAAUGCAUUUCUUAAAGCCUUGAUGAAGGAAAUGUCUUCUGAACCCUCCUAGGUCAUAAGUAGGGGAUGGCUGAACAGUUCUUACAUAAUGCAUCCGCUCCAGCAUUCCAACUCCUUAACUUGUGGAUACCUUCCAUUUAUAUAGUGAAGGAUGGAUUUAUGAAAGACGUGAGCGUCAGGAACAACUUGACAGAAAACAAACGGUUUCACAGUUUAGGUGUGUGGGUAGAAUUCUGAGUAAUAUAGGACAAGACAGAAAGACAGAAAUGAAAGUACAGUAGUUCCCCCCCCCAUUCCAUGGUUUCACUUUCCAUGGUUUCAGUCACCCUCUGUCAACUGUAGUCCGUAGGCAGAUGAUCCUCCCUCUGACUUAUCACCAGAAGGUGAAUGGUAGCCUAACACUAAUUCACAGCGCCCAUGUCAUUCACCUUAUUUCAUCUCGUCAUGUAGGCAUUUUAUCAUCUCAUCAUCACAAGUGGAAGGAUGGGUACAGUACAAUAAGAUAUUUUGAGAGAGAGAAAGACCAUAUUCACAUAACUUCUUUACGGUGUAUUAUUGUAAUUGUUCUAUUUUAUUAUUGUUGUUGUUACUCUCUUACUGCACCUAAUUUAUAAAUUAAACUAUCAGAGGUAGAUAUGUAUGAAUAGGAAAAAAAAACAUAGUACAUGUGGGGUUCAAUACUACCUGUGGUUUUGGGGUCUUGGAAUAUAUCCCCUGCAGAUAAGGGGAAAAUAACGAGGAGAUUUGGGCAGACAUACUCAGUAGAUUAUGCAUGACCCAUAGACGUUUGGUGGUGGAAGAAAAGAAGUGGCAAUAACCCAAAUUGAAGAGUGCUGCUUCUGGGAAAAUGAGGAGAAUCUGUGAAUGAAACAGAGAUUUGGGAACAGGCAAUAUACAUGACAUAAAAGGGAGCAGCAGGUCAAAAAUUAUUUUGAGGUUAAGUUGGAGGUUGGUAAUACUGUGGCGUUAGUAACGAAGAUGGGGAAACCAUAGAAAGAAGGCAUAUGGAAGAGAAUAGUUUGAAGGUUAGAUGGGAAAAGAUGUGACAGUACUGAACAAUUCUAAAAAUAUAACUGUCAGAGAAGGCUUAGGGAAAACUAUUGCAGUGGCUGUUUUUCUAACU